GAUGAACGCUGGCGGCGUGCCUAAUACAUGCAAGUCGAACGCUGAAGGAGGAGCUUGCUCUUCUGGAUGAGUUGCGAACGGGUGAGUAACGCGUAGGUAACCUGCCUGGUAGCGGGGGAUAACUAUUGGAAACGAUAGCUAAUACCGCAUGACAACAGUUAUUGCAUGAUAACUGUUUAAAAGGGGCAACUGCUCCACUACCAGAUGGACCUGCGUUGUAUUAGCUAGUUGGUGAGGUAACGGCUCACCAAGGCGACGAUACAUAGCCGACCUGAGAGGGUGAUCGGCCACACUGGGACUGAGACACGGCCCAGACGCCUACGGGAGGCAGCAGUAGGGAAUCUUCGGCAAUGGACGGAAGUCUGACCGAGCAACGCCGCGUGAGUGAAGAAGGUUUUCGGAUCGUAAAGCUCUGUUGUAAGAGAAGAACGAGUGUGAGAGUGGAAAGUUCACACUGUGACGGUAUCUUACCAGAAAGGGACGGCUAACUACGUG
Molecule: ribosomal RNA, 495 nt
Filed under: uncultured bacterium
Lineage: Bacteria
Description: partial 16S ribosomal RNA
Rfam family: Bacterial small subunit ribosomal RNA
Source: RNAcentral